GGCAACCUGAGUAGAGCGGCGCACGGGUGCGUAACACGUGGGUAAUCUGCCUCAAAGUUUGGGAUAACCUUCCGAAAGGUUGGCUAAUACCGGAUAAGCUCACGAGGUCUUCGGACCUUGUGGGAAAAGGUGGCCUCUAUUUAUAAGCCAUCACUUUGAGAUGAGCCCGCGGCCCAUCAGCUAGUUGGCGGGGUAACGGCCCACCAAGGCUACGACGGGUAGCUGGUCUGAGAGGACGAUCAGCCACACUGGAACUGAUACACGGUCCAGACUCCUACGGGAGGCAGCAGUGGGGAAUUUUGCACAAUGGGCGAAAGCCUGAUGCAGCAACGCCGCGUGUGUGAUGAAGGUCUUCGGAUCGUAAAGCACUUUCGACCGGRACGAACAACCUCUGGCUAACAGUCAGGGGCCUGACRGUACCGGGAGAAGAAGCACCGGCUAACUCUGUGCCAGCAGCCGCGGUAAUACAGAGGGUGCAAGCGUUGUUCKGAAUUAUUGGGCGUAAAGCGCGUGUAKGCGGCUUGUUAASUCGGGUGUGAAAGCCCUCAGCUCAA
RNAcentral lists this ribosomal RNA (554 nucleotides) under uncultured bacterium. RNAcentral's name for it is "bacterial SSU rRNA". It matches the Rfam family "Bacterial small subunit ribosomal RNA", at positions 78 to 612 of the family's 1533-position model. The record is from RNAcentral.